This is a non-coding RNA of Meleagris gallopavo (turkey), 269 nucleotides long. NCBI's taxonomy places the organism in Eukaryota, Metazoa, Chordata, Aves, Galliformes, Phasianidae. The record is from RefSeq and is a predicted model, not a curated record.
CCCUCACGCUGCCCUCCCCAUCCUCAUCCCCCCCCAGGGGAGCCCCUCCGUGGUCCCUACACGGCCUUCAUGAAGUCACACCGCUGCUACGACCUCAUCCCCACCAGCUCCAAACUCGUCGUCUUCGACACCUCCCUGCAGGUGAAGAAGGCUUUCUUUGCACUGGUCACCAAUGGUGUGCGGGCAGCUCCGCUGUGGGACAGCAAAAAGCAGAGCUUUGUGGGCAUGCUGACCAUCACCGACUUCAUCAACAUCCUGCACCGCUACUA